Molecule: ribosomal RNA, 253 nt
Filed under: uncultured bacterium
Lineage: Bacteria
Description: partial 16S ribosomal RNA
Rfam family: Bacterial small subunit ribosomal RNA
Source: RNAcentral
UACGAAGGGGGCUAGCGUUGCUCGGAUUCAUUGGGCGUAAAGGGUGCGUAGGCGGUCGGGUAAGUCGGAUGUGAAAUCUCAGGGCUCAACCCUGAAACUGCAUUCGAUACUGCCUGGCUAGGGUACUGGAGAGGAGACUGGAAUUUACGGUGUAGCAGUGAAAUGCGUAGAUAUCGUAAGGAAGACCAGUGGCGAAGGCGAGUCUCUGGACAGUUACCGACGCUGAGGCACGAAAGCUAGGGGAGCAAACAGG